Rhea pennata is the source of this 358-nucleotide long non-coding RNA. RefSeq lists it as uncharacterized. The transcript is spliced from 3 exons. Lineage: Eukaryota; Metazoa; Chordata; Aves; Rheiformes; Rheidae. The record is from RefSeq and is a predicted model, not a curated record.
GAGGGCAGACUGGAGAGGCUUUGCUCCUAAGGAUAUUUACUAGAUGCUGCUGGUCUGAAGAAAUACACAUAAAAAAGCCACAAGAGCUAAAAUAAAGCACCUGUACAGGCUAAUGCUGGGAAGAGAAGAUUUGCCUCAUUAACCUAAGUGAGUGGGUGAGAGGCAGAAUACUCUGAAAAUGGACGAGGAAGAAUAUGAGGAAGUUGUGGAGGUAAGAAAAAGAUCUGAAAGCAGAAAUAUUUGUUUGCUGCCUGGUGAAUACAUUAAUUACUUUAAAGAGAUGUUGUGCAUGAACAGAGAUGUUUUCUUGCUGUUUGGUCGCUGAAAUUCAGGGUAUGUUUAGAUAUUCAUUAUUUGU